GAUCGCCUGGGGAAGAAAGAGGAGGUGAAGGUGGAGAUAGAGAUCGGAAGGGAUAAGGAGUGUUUCCCAUGGGGAACUGCUUAGGGGGCAGCUCCUACUCCUACGUCAACAAGGUCUCCUCCACUGCAAGGCCGGGCUCACAAUAUUCUGGAAGCUAAAGACUCAACCAGCAGCUCUAAGCCUGCAAGCUCUGGGUCAGGGUAUGCCAAGCUGCCGCCGACCGCGCCGACGGCCAAGCCGCCGCUGACCCGGAUUCAUCUGCACCAACAGAUCACAGAGUCACAGAGAAACAUCUCGAGGUAAUCCCAACUUUAAG
Long non-coding RNA from Panicum virgatum (switchgrass), 316 nucleotides. RefSeq lists it as uncharacterized. The record is from RefSeq and is a predicted model, not a curated record. Lineage: Eukaryota; Viridiplantae; Streptophyta; Magnoliopsida; Poales; Poaceae. The transcript has 3 exons.